RNA transcript from Anolis carolinensis (green anole), 8036 nucleotides. It is a transcript of the gene named TBC1 domain family member 4, with no coding region annotated. NCBI's taxonomy places the organism in Eukaryota, Metazoa, Chordata, Lepidosauria, Squamata, Anolidae. The transcript has 21 exons. The record is from RefSeq and is a predicted model, not a curated record.
CCCAAGGGGGCGGCUUCCCCGAGAGGUCUGCAGCAGAGCGCGAUCCUUCCUUCCUUCACCGCAAAAGCAAUCUUUGCUUAGCCGAGUGGGGAGUGCUGCUGCUGCUGCUGCUGUGCCUUUCUCGCUGGAGCCAUGGAGAAGCCGCAGCCCCGCGCGGAGCCCUUCUCGCACCCCUUGGAGGGCUCUCCCCCGCCGCCGCCGCCGCCUCUCCCUCCUCCUCCGGGGGAGAAGCGCUUCAGGCUGUGGUACGUGGGCUGCUCCUGCCUGGACCGCCGCACCACGCUGCCCAUGCUGCCCUGGCUGAUGGCCGAGAUCCGGCGCCGCAGCCAGAAGCCCGAGCCCAGCGCCGUGCCGCCCCGCGAGGUGCUCCUGCUCCUGGGCUCGCCCACCCUGCGCUGCGUGCCUUCCUCCUCCUCCUCGGCCGCUGCCUCCGCUUCCAACCCGGCCGUCUUCAUCUUCGAGCACAAGGCGCAGCACAUCGCCCGCUUCGUGCACAACAGCCACGACCUCACCUACUUCGCCUACCUGAUCAAGGCGCAGCCCGAGGACCCCGACUCACGCAUGGCCUGCCACGUCUUCAGGGCCGCCGAGCCCGGGCAGGUUCCUGAUGUCAUUAGUAGCAUAAGGCAAGCUUCAAAAGCAGCUCUCAAAGAGGAUGUCAAGCCCAAUAAAGACAGUGAAGAUGCUUUCUACAACUCCCAAAAAUUUGAGGUCCUCUACUGCGGAAAAGUGACUGUGGCUCACAAAAAAGCCCCUUCCACUCUGAUUGAUGACUGCAUUGAGAAGUUCAGUCUGCAUGAGCGUCAGCGCCUGAAGCUGCUGAGUGAGCACCGGAAUUCAGAAUCCAGCACAGACCUUGCUGGGGGUGAUGGGGACAUACCGACAUCUCCUUUUGACAGUCCGUUUGAGGAGGAGGAGGAGGCAGAUAGCCCAGAUGGGGGUAAAACGGGGAUGUUCAUAGUGGGAAGCCAGACCAAUCUGGCCAGCCUGGCGAGUUGUCGUGUCUCCUUCCCUGAACGGAUUUUGGAGGAUUCUGGGUUUGAUGACCAGCAGGAGUUUCGCUCCCGGUGCAGCAGCGUCACAGGUGUUAUGCAAAGGAAGACACACGAUAAUUCAAAAACACAGUCGCGGCGGCGACAUGCAAGUGCCCCCAGCCACGUCCAGCCUUCAGACUCUGAAAAGAACAGGACGAUGCUGUUUCAGGUUGGACGAUUUGAAAUUAAUCUUAUCAGUCCAGACACUAAAUCCGUUGUGUUUGAAAAGAACUUUAAAGAUAUUUCCUCAUGUUCUCAGGGCAUAAAACAUAUUGAUCAUUUUGGUUUCAUUUGUCGGGAAUCUAUUGAAACGGGAAUUAGCCAGUACGUUUGCUACGUAUUCCAGUGUGCAAGUGAGUCUUUGGUUGAUGAGGUCAUGCUCACGUUGAAGCAAGCUUUUAGCACUGCUGCAGCACUACAGAAUGCCAAGACUCAGAUUAAGCUUUGUGAAGCCUGCCCAAUGCAUUCAUUGCAUAAACUCUGUGAAAGGAUUGAAGGGCUUUAUCCACCAAGAGCUAAACUUGUCAUUCAGAGACAUCUGUCAUCCCUCAGUGACAAUGAACAAGCGGACAUCUUUGAGCGUGUUCAGAAAAUGAAACCUAUUAGUGACCAGGAAGAAAAUGAGCUUGUGAUUCUACAUUUGCGACAACUAUGUGAAGCUAAACAAAAGACACAUGUUCAUAUUGGAGAAGCACCAGUGCAGAAUGCUUCCAACAACACAAUUCCUGAAAAUGCAGCUAGUGGUGGCAGAUUCAAACUUGACAUUCUGAAAAACAAGGCCAAGAAAUCUUUGACUAGUUCUCUUGAAAACAUCUUCUCAAGGGGAGCAAACAGAAUGCGCGGCCGUCUGGGGAGCAUGGACAGUUUUGAAAGGUGCAACAACCUCACUUCUGACAAAGACUGUUCCUCUGGGGAGUCCCCUCCUCUGACCCCUCCUGCGUCGCCCAUAUCGUCCGCCUGGCAGCCCUUCCCUGAGGAGGAUUCUGAUUCACCCCAGUUCCGACGGCGGGCCCACACCUUCAGCCACCCGCCCUCCAGCUCAAAGAAGAGGAUCACUUUCCAAGAAGGGAGGUCCCAAAGUGUCAAGUCUCCCCUCCUGAGGCAGAAUUCUGUGGAACAUGGCAGGCCAGCAAUUUCCCGACGUACUUACAGUGAGAGUGAAUCAUCUACAUCAUCCAGUCUCCCUUCUUCCUUCUCUGCCCCAUCUUUCCUGAAAAGCUUUUACCAGAGCUCAGGAAAGCCAUCUCCACAGUCCGAAAAUGAACUCUCCAAGAGUGAUGGAGAAAGAAGAAAAAGGACCUCCUCUGUAUGCAGUAAUGACUCUCUGAAUGCUGGAGGAAUCACUCUUACUCCUCGCCGAAUUUCCUGGCGGCAGAGGAUCUUCCUAAGGGUUGCAUCGCCCAUAAAGAAAUCUCCCUCAGCAAUGCAACUUCAAGAUGGGAUGGAUGGAAAUGAAUUGUUACCACUAUCUCCUCUGGCGCCAUGCUUUGAUGAAGACCCUCUCAUUUCAAUAUUGCAAAAUGAUGACGGCCAAGAAAAGUCCGGGGAGAAAAAGAACUCUGAAGAGUUGCAGAGUCUGUGGAGAAAAGCCAUCCAUCAGCAGAUACUGCUUCUUCGGAUGGAAAAGGAGAACCAGAAAUUGGAAGCAAGCAGAGAUGAGCUCCAAUCCAGAAAAGUUAAGAUGGACUAUGAGGAAGUUGGGACUUGUCAGAAAGAUGUGAUCAAUAUCUGGGAUAAGAAACUAUCGAACUUCAGAGCCAAAAUCAAAUGUGACAUGGAAGAUAUUCAUGCAACUUUGAAAGAUGGUGUACCAAAAGGUCGCCGAGGUGAAAUUUGGCAAUUUCUUGCUGUGCAGCAUCGAGUAAGACAUCGUCUGCCAAAUAAGCAGCAACCCCCUGACAUCUCUUACAAAGAACUUCUCAAACAACUGACAGUUCAACAACAUGCUAUCCUUGUAGAUCUAGGAAGGACCUUCCCAACUCACCCCUACUUUUCUGCUCAGUUAGGAGCCGGGCAACUGUCACUCUUCAACCUCCUGAAAGCGUACUCCUUGCUGGACAAGGAGGUGGGUUACUGCCAAGGUAUCAGCUUUGUGGCUGGAGUGCUGCUUCUCCACAUGAGCGAAGAGCAAGCCUUUGAAAUGCUCAAAUUUCUCAUGUACGACCUUGGCUUCCGGAAGCAGUAUCGGCCUGACAUGAUGUCACUACAAAUCCAGAUGUACCAGCUGUCAAGACUACUUCAUGACUACCACAGAGACCUCUAUAACCAUCUGGAGGAGAAUGAAAUCAGCCCCAGCCUUUAUGCUGCACCUUGGUUCCUUACUUUAUUUGCUUCACAGUUUCCAUUGGGUUUUGUUGCCAGAGUGUUUGAUAUUAUUUUUCUUCAGGGAACAGAAGUCAUAUUUAAAGUGGCACUAAGUCUGCUUAGUAGCCAUGAGGAACCUAUCAUGAUGUGUGAGACUUUUGAAAGCAUUGUUGAGUUUCUUAAAAAUACUCUCCCAGACAUGUCAAAGCCCCAGAUGGAGAAGAUUAUGACACAGGUAUUUGAGAUGGAUAUUUCCAAACAGCUUCACGCCUACGAGGUGGAGUACCAUGUCCUGCAGGAUGAACUACAAGAAAACACAAAUCCAUGUGACGAGGGGGAGGUACCAGAGAAACUUGAAAGGGCAAACAAUCAGCUGAAGAGACAGAAUAUGGACCUCCUGGAAAAACUACAGGUGGCUCAUGCUAAAAUCCAGAGUAUGGAAUCACACCUGGAAGAUGCUUUGGCAAGAGAGAACAAAAUGAAGAGUUUGAUCCAGUCACUGGAAAAAGAGAAGGCAUUCUAUCAGAUGACUGUUGAGAAACUGUGUAGAUAUUUGCCUGAUGAAGCACUCUCUGACUGCAGGCAACUGCUAAAGGAGGUGAACUGUAGCCCAAGCAAAAUCCUGAAAUAAGCCAUAAAUAAAGAGUUGCAGGCAACAUGGUUCUGACAAUAUGAAAAAAGGAAAGUGAUAACAGGCUGCUGUAAAUGGUAUCUGCAUCAUCUCACACGGGUACUGCAGCAAUAGAGAGGCCUUUUAAACCUUGAUAUGCAAAUCCCAGGUUAAAUGUUUUUAAUAAUGCGUGUACAGUGUGCAAAAACAGAAGUAAAAGAUUGAAUCUAAUCAAGACAAUUAGAUGUAUAUUUAGGAUUGAUCAAAGGGAAAAGGGAUGAGUUUUUACCCUUGAAGAUAGCAUAAAUCUCAGCGUGUUCCCUUGACACAGAGUGAAAGGAACAUGUUGCCUCUUUUCUAUAAUAUUGAUUAAUACUUGAAAAGAAAAGCAAGAAUGUAAUUUUUUCCCUCCAAAGAACAGCAUGUUUCCCAUUUUAGUGGGGGAUUUCUUUGUGUUGUCUGUAGGGUUUUUUUUGUUUUGUUCGUUUUCAUGGGGGGAGGGGGAAUCCCUGUACGCUCUUAUGUGCCUGUAAUUAAAUCUACUGACAAUUGCACACUUGCGGCAGCCAUUCUGCCUGGCUGUCAUUCUGCAGCUGUGCUGCUGAGGAGGGUUAUCAGUGCCAAGAAAUACUGUGCUGAAUUCCCUGAUUUAUUUGUUGCCGACUGUUUGUUGCUGGGAAAAGUGAGAAGAAAUAGGAGCUGAAAACUAGGAAGGAAUGAGAAAAUCUUGACAAAUUUCCUGGGAGCAGGACCAUGAGGCUUUGAUGCUUACCUAACCAUAAUGUGACUUGAGUUCUCUCACUCUAAAUUUUUACUUCUUUUUCUUUCUUUCUCUCUUUCUGCCUUUGUGUUCAGAUCCUCUUAAUUUUACAAUCCGAGAGAUAUUCGUCACUGCUUUGCAAUCUCCCUGCUCCUUUUCCUAAUAAGAACAAUGUUGUGGCAUCAUCCCUUUGGGGCUUUCUAGAGCUCCUGUUUAUUAAAUGCAAAAAAGGUGCCCAAGGGCGUUUUUUUAUUUGUUGAAAGAACUUUCUGUCUUUGUUUAAUGAUUCUAAGAUCAGAUUUGUUGAUCUUUUCAGACAAAUGGCCCAAGUUUGCCCAUGCCUGCUCUAUAUUAAACAGAAGCAGCACUUUGAUACCACUUUGUCUUCUGUGUCUCCCUCCUACAGAAUAAUUGGAUUUGUCAACUGGUAGUUCUAUGGUUCAAGGAGAGCACAGGAAGCCAUUAGUAGCAAAUCAAAAGCACUAGACAAACUAUAAAUCCCAACACCCCACAGUAUGGUACCAUGGAAGUUAAGGUGUCAUCCAGUGCUAUAAAACUGCUUAGUGUAGACACAGCAGCUAUCAGUGCUUUGACAUGUGAGCUUGAAUGAAGGCACACAAUUGGUGUUAGGCACCAAAAGCCUACCUAUAGUUUUGGGAUUUUAAUACUUACCUUCACUUCAAACCACUGGGGCAGGUGUUGUUUCAAACCCUAACACUUUACACUAUUAUUUUCUCCUGAUCUUUCUUUUUGAUAGCUGCAAUAGUAUUUUUGAAAUUAGACUAAAUAGGUGGUUCUCAAUGUGUGGGUCCCCAGAUGUUUUGGCUUUCAACUCACAGAAAUCCUAAAAAGCUGGUAAAUUGGCUGGGAUUAAUGGGAGUUGUAGGCCAAAACACCUGGGGACCCACAGGUUGAGAACCAUUGGACUAAAUUAAUGAUGAAUAUGAGUGGUGGAAUGAAUGUUGUAGCUUGAGCAGGAGGAGAUUCCACUUUCCUUGAAGUUUAGAUUUAAUCCAGUGUGAAGGGGGAUGUACAGGGAGCAUGUUAGAUGGCCAAGAGUUUAAAGCAAUCAAAUAAAGAAAAGAAAGACAUAUUGUGUUAAAUGACAAAUAAUAGAAAACCCAUACUUGACUUUUGCAUUUUCCAGAGAGUGACACUAGGAAGCUCCACUGUCUUGUGGGGAAGAAAUACAGUUGUAACACAAAGUCUUUUAGGGGCAAGAACAGCAGAGAAAACUGCAAGGCAGUAGGAAACAGCACAUGGGUGGCAUCAUAACGAAGAAUCACCCCCAGGUCACUUUGUUACAGCAAGGAAAGCACUACAGCCCAGUAUUCUGCAAGUUUUGAUAAUUUCUCAAACCCCUGUGAAAGAGAGAAGCAGAUCCCCGUGAAAGAGAGAUGCAGAACAAUCUUACCUCUCUUGCAGAGACGUGAAGAACUUACGCAAAGGAAACUGGUCCAGCACUGGAAUAUUUUUCAGAUGCAUGUCAGCAAGUGGGCCAUCUUAGUUUCCAAGUUAUGUUUGAAGUUAGGAUUAAGCAUAGCUGUUUCUCUCCCCGCGCUCUCUUUCUCCUGUGCAUCAGUGCAUGAAAUUGAGAGCAGAAACAGACUAACAAAAGCCAUAUGUGAUAUAUAUAUUCCUGAGGCUGUGAGACUACAGAUGGAGGAUGAAAUGUUUGAAGGCAUCUCUCAUAAUCAACUUCCUGCACCCACAGAACUCUCUUGCUAAAGAAAGCGUGCUAUAAUACGCUUUGCUGCAACAUGCUAAUUUUAUGCAUUAUAUGGGAAAAGCUUUCAAACAUUGCAUCUCUUGUCUAUUGACAUGGUACAGGUUUAGAUAAAUCAUGUGGAGCUUGUAUUAAGUUGUGCAUACAUAUAUAAUGUGGAGAAGCCUUCAGUUUGAAUUCUGUUUCAUGCAAUAAAAAUACAUGAUGUUUACAGGUUUCAAUGAGCCAAACAAACUUUGUCAGAUUUCUCCCUAUUCCUAUUCUGCUUAAAGGGCCAAUAACAGUCCAGCUUUUCUUCUUCUCUGUAUUGGAUAAAAUGUAUGCAUUAGGAUUCUCUUAAAUGCAUAGAAGAUGCAUGUAAAAUGUGGGACCCUCUAGAACAGUGGUUCUCAACCUGUGGGUUCCCAGGUGUUUUGGCCUACAACUCCCAGAAAUCCCAGCCAGUUUGCCAGCUGUUAGGAUUUCUGGGAGUUGAAGGCCAAAACAUCUGGGGACCCACAGGUUGAGAACCACUGCUCUAGAAGUUGUUUCCAGCACUCAUAACUAGCAGAGUCAAUGGUGAGGGAUAAUAAAAGCUGAAAUUCAGAUGUUUGGAAAGCCACAUGUUCCCCAGUCAUAGUGCAGAAUAUCACACUUCAUAUAAAAUUUAGUAGCCUCAAAGAAGCAUAUCAGCAUUCAUUGUGUUAACUUUUUAGGAAGAUUGUUGUUCAGAUUUAGUGGUCUGUACAAAUACCUGUUCCAUAGUAAACUUUAAAUAAAUUAAAAAAAACCUAAGAGAUCCAAAAACUUAGAUCCCAUUGGAUGCUUUCCAGGCAGCUUCUGUCCUUUUAAUUACCUGAAAACGUGUUAUUUUGGGUUGUUUCUGUCAGACCAGACACUGAAAUCAAUAUUUGACCUGACAAAGCUAUGAAAUUAGCAGUUGAUCGUAACACAAAAAAUGUGCAUUUAUCAUUUUGGAACAAGCUUGAAUUCUUGUUAACAGUCAGUGGGAUUUCGUUACAUUCUUCCAGAUAUUUUUUUUAAUAAGCAAAGUGCCAAAUUAAGCCAAGUGUCUUAUUCAUACAAGUGGGGUGAAGUGAAGGAGGGUCAAGUGUGGAGAGGGUGCCAGUGUUUCUCAUGCAAAUAAUAAGCAAAAUGUAGAGGAAACCUGAUUUGGUUCAUGAUUACUUCCACGUGAGUCUUCCCCGCUUCUCCCUCUUGUUAGAUAGAGGAUAGCUUUGAUGGAAUUAUCGCAGGCACGGUCCAACAGAUAUGAAAGGAAUGAAUAGAGGAAAGGUUUUCCAAUAAAUUGUGCCUAGAAUUAUUUUCUUCCCAUUAUUGCUUCUUACCAAAUCAAUCUAUUCAAGUUACAUUAGUAAUUGUCUUUUACUAUAUGGAAGGAAAAAGUGUUUUGCUUUAAUUAGAGGCAAUUUUGUGCAGACAAGAUUACUCUGAGAGGACUGUUGGAACUGUAUUAUUGUUGUUAACAAGUUUUUAAGGCACACACCGGUAUUCUUUAUUUUUUUAUUUUUUUUAGGGGCACAGAACAUUUCAACCUGUGUUGGACUUGCUGAUUUGUUCAUAUAUCACCUGAAAAAAAAUCCAAUAAAUGACAUUGCUGCA